AUUGAACGCUGGCGGAAUGCUUUACACAUGCAAGUCGAACGGCAGCACGGACUUCGGUCUGGUGGCGAGUGGCGAACGGGUGAGUAAUGUAUCGGAACGUGCCCAGUCGUGGGGGAUAACGUAGUGAAAAUCACGCUAAUACCGCAUACGAUCUAUGGAUGAAAGCGGGGGAUCGCAAGACCUCGCGCGAUUGGAGCGUCCGAUAUCAGAUUAGGUAGUUGGUGGGGUAAAGGCCCACCAAGCCAACGACCGGUAGCUGGUGUGAGAGGACGACCGACCGAGCUGGAAAUGCGACACGGUCCAGACUCCUACGGGAGGCAGCAGUGGGGAAUUUUGGACAAUGGGCGGAAGACUGAUCCAGCCAUUCCGCGUGCAGGAUGAAGGCCCUCGGGUUGUAAACUGCUUUUGUACAGAACGAAAAGGUUUCUACUAAUACUAGGAGCUCAUGACGGUACUGUAAGAAUAAGCACCGGCUAACUACGUGCCAGCAGCCGCCGUAA
RNAcentral lists this ribosomal RNA (500 nucleotides) under uncultured bacterium. RNAcentral's name for it is "partial 16S ribosomal RNA". It matches the Rfam family "Bacterial small subunit ribosomal RNA", at positions 30 to 523 of the family's 1533-position model. The record is from RNAcentral.